Molecule: ribosomal RNA, 496 nt
Filed under: uncultured bacterium
Lineage: Bacteria
Description: partial 16S ribosomal RNA
Rfam family: Bacterial small subunit ribosomal RNA
Source: RNAcentral
GACGAACGCUGGCGGCGUGCCUAAUACAUGCAAGUUGAGCGCUGAAGGUUGGUACUUGUACCAACUGGAUGAGCAGCGAACGGGUGAGUAACGCGUGGGGAAUCUGCCUUUGAGCGGGGGCAAACUUUGGGAACCAAAGGCUAAUACCGCUUAAAACCUUAAACCACAGUUUUAAAUUUUGAAAGAUGAAUUUGAUUCCCCAAAUAAGAACCCCCGUUGGAUUAGCGAGGUGGUGAGGUAAAGGCCCAACCAAGGGAAGAAACAUAGCCGACCCGGGAGGGGGGUCGGCCACAUUGGGGCUGAGAAACGGCCCAAACUCCUACGGGGGGCAGCAGUAGGGAAUCUUCGGCAAUGGACGAAAGUCUGAACGAGCAACGCCGCGGGAGUGAAGAAGGUUUUCGGAUCGUAAAACUCUGUUGGUAGAGAAGAACGUUGGUGGGAGUGGAAAGCUCAUCAAGUGACGGUAACUACCCAGAAAGGGACGGCUAACUACGUG